Molecule: long non-coding RNA, 1037 nt
Filed under: Anas platyrhynchos platyrhynchos (common mallard)
Lineage: Eukaryota; Metazoa; Chordata; Aves; Anseriformes; Anatidae
Description: lncRNA (ENSAPLG00000026571.1)
Source: RNAcentral
GUUCUCCGUAGAUUGCCAGCAGAGGAGAGGCUGAUGGGUGGCAUGAUGCAUGCUGGCACCCAUGACACCAGCGUGCUGCAUCACCACUUGGGCAGCGGUCAGGCUGUGCCGCCUUCGCCCACAGCAUCUCGGCCAGCGCCUCUGUUGCCUGCUUGCAGUUGUUUCUCCUUCUUGAACAAAACAUUGCCAAGACGCUGUUGAUGCUGCUCAGCCAGAUUUCCUCAGGGCUCUGGCACACCAGGUGAGGAACCAGCCAGCUUUUCUGACGAGAAAAGCUGUCUUAGGUCUGUCACCCUGGAAAGUACAGCGCUUUUUUGUUUAGUUUUAUUUUUUCCCUGCAGGAUGCUCAAGGGGUAAGGUUAUGCCAAAGUUGGAUAUAUAAACAAAGAAAAAAAAGGAAAAACGUUGUUCCCUUUACUCUUCUUGGCAAAGGCAGUUUCUUGGUUAUGUUGAAUAUUGCUACAUGUGUUGUUAGAGAAGAGAAAAAAAAAAAAGACUGUCUUAAAAUAAUUUAAUUCUAGCUCCGAUAGUGUUAUAGUGUUUUGAUUCCACUGCUAAUAUUUUAGUGCCGUUCUUGAACUAAAAUUCUUGUAUGUUUCCUAUUUUCUUUCUGAAAACAAUGUUUGGUAAGAACUGUUGAUUUUUUAAGUCCGUAAAGCUGGUCAUUGUAAGCCAAGACAUAGCAGGCUGACUGGUGACCUUGUCUUGCUUUUGGCUGGGCUUUCUUUAGCCUGGUGUGACCAGGUUCAGCAGUUGUUUUCCUGUUUUGACAUUUUUGGUCACUGUGCUGCUUCUAAAUAUGCAGACACUUACUGCUGAGUCCUUGACACUCCCCUUUUUACUCUUCCCUCCCACCCCCUGAAAAAAUAUAGGUGACUUCUGAAAAUACGAAUGCAUUGGGUAAAGUUGGCUUGUGAGUUCUGUUUGUGGUACAAAGAGAAGGAGAAUUAAAUGAGUGAAUCUGAGCAGUAAAGAAAAAGUGGAAAGGUACUAAGAGCUUAUGUGAAGAAUAAGGGUGUCAUGACUGGGAGGGUAAG